UUGAGUCAGAGUGAAAAGCACUCUAAUGGGGCAAAAUGAAAAAGUCUUUCAGGAAGUGUCUACACACGGCUUCCACCGGACCUACCAACAGUGUAGGGAAAUUUUUUUUUUUUUUAAAGUGACUACAGAACCAUCAAGGACCAUAACAGCCAGAGUGGUUAAAACAGAAGAAAGUGGAAGUGAUUCGACCAAAUGGACACUAUCUAUGGCAAUAGGCCGGCGAGCAAUGGGAGGGAGAGUGCCCUGGACUCGGCCACGGUGUUGUUGGAGUCCACGAUGGAGGAUGCAGUCUCAGUUCCCCCAGCUUAGAAUUCACUGCAAUCCCCAAAGCUCCUCUGGACACAUUGGGAAACCUCUUCUUCACUGCCACUGUGUAUACUUUGGCAGAACCAGACAGAGAAGCCUUGGAUGGAGCCUUCAGCACCUGUGAAGCUGAAUAUUGAUAGAUUAAAAACAAUACACAUAACACUGAGCAUCAUAAAAUCUUUGUAGAUGUAUCAGAAUAUCAC
Long non-coding RNA from Myxocyprinus asiaticus (Chinese sucker), 509 nucleotides. RefSeq lists it as uncharacterized. The transcript has 3 exons. The record is from RefSeq and is a predicted model, not a curated record. NCBI's taxonomy places the organism in Eukaryota, Metazoa, Chordata, Actinopteri, Cypriniformes, Catostomidae.